Molecule: long non-coding RNA, 420 nt
Organism: Xiphophorus couchianus (Monterrey platyfish)
Lineage: Eukaryota; Metazoa; Chordata; Actinopteri; Cyprinodontiformes; Poeciliidae
Exons: 4
Source: RefSeq, a predicted model, not a curated record
CCUCCCCCUUUUUCUGUAACUGUCAUAUGAGUCAGGAUCAGCUCUGUGUUUUCAUUACAAAAUAAAUACGGUUAACCUGAAUGCGUCUGUCGUGAAGUCAACCUAACCCUAACCCUAACCCUAACCCUAUCUGAAAGGAACAUAGAAGGGUUACAUGUGAACGGAAUCAGUGAGAUGUGACGCCUUCCUAGAGGAAGCAACUCAACUUUCUUCUUCUCCUGCGAGACGCGAAGGGCACAGCUGCAAAUGUUUAACCUUGGUUGCACAUCCAAUGUUUACACUCUGAGUUGUAUUAAUUGUAGCCACAAACGAACAUGGCUUCCAACGGUUGCAGGGUUUAAUUUGUGUGUUGCACCACAUUGUUUGUGAUUUUUUUAAAAAGAAUAUGUAAUUAUCAAAUAAAAAUGAAAAACAAUCGUC